CCUACGGGAGGCAGCAGUGAGGAAUAUUGGUCAAUGGGCGAGAGCCUGAACCAGCCAAGUCGCGUGAAGGAUGACGGCCCUACGGGUUGUAAACUUCUUUUGUCAGGGAGCAAUUGAGUCCACGUGUGGUCUUAGCGAGAGUACCUGAAGAAAAAGCAUCGGCUAACUCCGUGCCAGCAGCGGCGGUAAUACGGAGGAUGCGAGCUUUACCCGGAUUUAUUGGGUUAAAAGGGUGCGUAGGCGGAAUAUCAAGUCAGCGGUAAAAAUUCGGGGCUAAACCCCAUCGUGCCGUUGAAACUGAGGUUCUUGAGUGGGCGAGAAGUAGGCGGAAUGCGUGGUGUAGCGGUGAAAUGCAUAGAUAUCACGAAGAACUCCGAUUGCGAAGGCAGCAUACCGGCGCCCAACUGACGCUGAAGCACGAAAGCGUGGGUAUCGAACAGGAUUAGAUACCCGAGUAGUC
This 460-nucleotide ribosomal RNA is filed under the name uncultured bacterium. Its description in RNAcentral is "partial 16S ribosomal RNA". It matches the Rfam family "Bacterial small subunit ribosomal RNA", at positions 338 to 795 of the family's 1533-position model. The record is from RNAcentral.